RNAcentral lists this ribosomal RNA (507 nucleotides) under uncultured Lachnospiraceae bacterium. RNAcentral describes it as "partial 16S ribosomal RNA". The record is from RNAcentral. Lineage: Bacteria; Bacillati; Bacillota; Clostridia; Lachnospirales; Lachnospiraceae.
CACGUAGUUAGCCGGGGCUUCUUAGUCAGGUACCGUCAUUUUCUUUCCUGCUGAUAGAGCUUUACGUACCGAAAUACUUCUUCACUCACGCGGCGUCGCUGGAUCGGGGUUUCCCCCAUUGUCCAAUAUUCCCCACUGCUGCCUCCCGUAGGAGUUUGGGCCGUGUCUCAGUCCCAAUGUGGCCGUCCACCCUCUCAGGCCGGCUACUGAUCGUCGCCUUGGUGGGCCGUUACCCCGCCAACCAGCUAAUCAGACGCGGGCCCAUCCCAUACCACCGGAGUUUUUCACACACCUUCAUGCGAAGCUGUGCGCUUAUGCGGUUUUAGCACCUGUUUCCAGGUGUUAUCCCCCGGUAUGGGGCAGGUUGCCCACGCGUUACUCACCCGUCCGCCACUAACUUACACUUCCGUUAGUCAAUGCAAGCAUCUCCUGCUUCUGUGUAAGUCCGUUCGACUUGCAUGUGUUAGGCACGCCGCCAGCGUUCAUCCUGAGCCAGGAUCAAACUCU